Molecule: long non-coding RNA, 3789 nt
Filed under: Malus domestica (apple)
Lineage: Eukaryota; Viridiplantae; Streptophyta; Magnoliopsida; Rosales; Rosaceae
Description: long non-coding RNA (MDOM_LNC010163)
Source: RNAcentral
UUUUUUUAUUCUUUUGGCUAACAGUAUAUUUGCAUCCAUAUCGUUGCAUAUUUUUUUUUUUAUCAUAAUCUUUUAUUUGAUGAACCAACAACUUUUUCAUCAUUUGCUCAUUAUUUUAGUACAAAUUAUUGUUCCACGAUCUUUAUCCAAAAACAAGUGGAAUUUAAAAAAUGAGGAUGGAUGGACACAUCGUAAAGUGGGCAUGAUCUAGUGACAUUUAUAUUUGUUAAUGGCCAUUAGUUCGAAAGGGGUUUUUCAUUUGAAAUAUCAAACCGAGAGCCUCAUGCAAGUUCAUGGGGUAGAAUUUAGAUAUGCCUAGUAGUUCAAAUUAAGAAGUGUUAAAUUCGUAAUUGCCUAUGUCACUUCAGUAAUGGGCCAAUGGCAUUAAUUAAAUUCAUCUUCGAUAUGUUUUUCCUUGUUUUUUUUUAUGCAAUUGUAAGUGUGCGUCGCUUGGGAAUGUGAUGUAGAUAAAGCUUCGGACAAAUUAUUACUUAUUGUAGAAGAAUAGUUUGUGUUUAUUCCGACUCUAAAAUCAUAUGAUUUUCUUGAGUUAAUCUAUGAAUCGAAUUGUGCACCUCCAAAGAACUCCUACCAUACCAAAAUAGGCAAUAUAUCCAAUGUCAGAUGUUAAAGUCUAAGAGAUUCAGUUCACUUGAUUAAAACAUCAAUUGUUAAUUCAUCAAUAAACUCGAGAAUAGCCAUGGCUCCUUAAUUCAUUUAACAAAGCAAGGGGCAUUUUACUACAGUGGUAGAAAAAUGUUGAGUCCUUACACGUCAGUUGCUAAUCAAACAUAUGAUAUAACAAAAUUUAUCGUUUGAUUAAAAAAAAAAUUCAUUUAACAAAGAAAAAAAGUUGUGCUGAAUUUGAUUUAAAUUUGUUUAUAUUACGUACAAUGACACACCCCGACCGGAGUCAAGACGUGCAGGCCGUCACGUGAGAGUGACAUAGCCAUGAGCGCAAAACGGAAGCGAUAAAGAGUAAGAGAAAUACCAACAAUUUAAAACCAAGCUAUUAACAAUCCCAAUUAAGAAAGGAUACUAGUGAGAGUUUAAGUGUAUAAAUACACUUUCAGAGCAAUAAGAAAGUCUAGUUACAGUCAGGUAAGACAAUUACUAAGAUACAACAUUAGAGGGUGAAUCCCACUUUUUUUUUUCGAGAUCUGUCAGAACACCGUUGGAUUCCUCGUAGCCACCAAACUCUGCUAACUAAAACCUGGAGGAGCGAAAAACAAAGUUGAGUGGGUCAGUAAAACACAGUUACAUGAAAACCUUAUUUUCCUUUGAAUAUACUAACCCCUCGCCGUAAAACAAGUAUAAUUUUUCCCAGAAUUAAUAUAUAAGAAUAUACAUAAAUAUAUAUAUGUAAUUAUAUCAUUUCAAUCAUGCUUCACAUAAUCAUAUUCAAAUGUAUGUCAUGCCAAGAUAUAACAGAGUAAGCAAUUCAGGUAAGAAUAAAUUCAUAGAAAUAUGAUAUGUUAGCCGAAACCCCUGUGGUAGUCUGUAAGGCUAAAUUCAUAGCUCAAACUCAAUCUAGCCGGAGUCAUUAUUAUGACCUAUACGGCAAUAGACUGCACAUAAGUCGGAACCACUAAAAAUGGGUCUAUAUGACAAGAUUGGGUAUAAUAUAAUUAUGCUCAAUUUUACUCUCUCAUAAUAGCCGGACGAUAAAUCGCUAGUCACCUACGAGUCGGAACCAUAAUUAAGGUAUGUACGACAAGACUGUGCACUUAAGUUGGAUCCAAUAUGAGCAUAUAGUGCUGGAGGUGACUUAAAUAAACAGGCAUGUACUUCAUAUUUCUGGCUAAAUCAUAAUCACCCUAGGUGCAGUUUUAUGAGCUCAACAUUAUUCAAUCACAUAUCACAUCAUCGAUGAUUCACAUAAUCAAAACAUAACUCACCUGAGCUUACCUGGGCCUCCACAACACCAUGCGACAAUAUGCAUAAUUAUGAUAAUGCAUAUACUAAAAUAAAAUAUAGGCAUUGGCAUAGCAUGGCAUUUAAAUUACAUUUCCUUUAAAUACGUUUUCUGGGAAAAAUGUCAAGUAUAUAUAUAUAUACUGAAAAUAACUGUCCACUCACAGAUAUGUCGAUGGGUCGUAGCCCCCGAGCCUCGAUUGAUUACGCACGUCCUGAGAAUAGGUCUCACCUAUAGGCGUAAUAACCGAAUAAACAUUAUUUAACGCACAUAACCAACAAUAGGUAAUAACUUCUCAUAUAAUGCUCAAUUUAGGUAUAUAAAUAUACCACAGUGACCUACAUAACCUUAGGAUCAUUCCCAAAUUUUUAGAAUAUUUUUCCUAACUCCCAUGCGCUGCCACGCGCCAACCAAGGCACAGCCAGAUGCACCCCCCACGCGUGGCCAUGUGCCAGGCACACUGACGGUGUCAAUUGACAUCGUCAGGUAUAUUUCAGAAUAUUCUGUUUAUUCCUUAACAAAACUUAACGGCGUGACCUAACGCCGUUAGAAUAUUCCGUUUAACUUAACGGAAUAUCCUCUCGUCUUCUACCUUCAGCUCUGGCAACCUUCGUCGUCGCCGGAAAACUGGGUAAUUUUCAAAACUCUAUAACUCACUCGUUUUUCAUCCAUUUUCUACGAAAUUACCACCAAAAUUUAGCUUAGGACAUAAGGAAGAGAAAUAUACCACUUUAAAGCCCCAAAGUUGACUGAAUCACGCCGAAGAAAUUCCACAAAAACCGGCCAACCCUUGAACUCGUGAUCCCGACGUCCAAAACACUGCAACGAUACACCCCGAGCUUCGUGACAACCUUCUAAAGCUCCCUGUGAGCUUGAAAUCCCCUAAAAAGCUCACAAUAAUUAGUACAUGAACGGUACCUCAUUUGGGGUUAAGGUUUUCACGUAAUUUCGAAGUAUUUCUUACCUGAAAAUGGUAUAGAUGAACUAAGGAGGUUACAAGGAUUCCAAAUCUCACCUUUUUACCUUCGAUCCGUGCUUGAAAGUUUGGUUUCUAGAUUGUCCGUACGUUUUGUACGGAAAAGAAACAAAAAAUCGAGAGGGAGGAAAGAGAGAAAACACGGGGAAGAGAGAGAGAGCUGAUGUGUGUGUGUUGUCACAGCUCGUCCCAAAAAUUUAGUUAUCGUAGGUGUGAAAUGACAAAAUUGCCCUUAGCGGUUGCUAAGGUAUGUGUGACAUAUUAUUUGAAUAGUGCAUACUUUUCUAAGUUUUGGAAAUUUAAUUGGAUUAAAAUUGUAUGCAUUUUUUUUAUGUGGUUAGGGACUUAGGUGGACCACAUACCCUCAUCAUCAGACUCCUCUCUCUCUCUUAUCCCGUGCCCUCUCUCUCUUCCCUCUCAGUUUCUCUCUCUCUCUCUCUCGAACCGUACGGACAAGAACCCAAAAUCCCUUAAAACAUCACGGAUCGACGCCAAUAAGGUGAGUUUCUUCAUCCUUGCAACCUCCUGAGUUGAAUGGUACCAUUUUUGGAACUUAGAACCUUUGAAAUCACGUGAAAUCCGAACCCCAGUUUGAUGUCACUGUUCAUGCACACGUGAAUUGUUGAUUUUCAUGGAAUUCUAAGCUUACAAGGAGCUUAGUGAGGUCCCAAGGAAGCUCGGAGUACUUAGUUUGAAGGUUUUAGACGUCGGAAUCGUAGGGUUCAAAAUUGGCCGGUUUUCUUGGAUUUUCUCUGGUGAGAUUUCAUAAUUUUUAGAGCCUUAAACUAGUACAACGUGAUUCUACAUGCUUAGGGCUUCAUUUUGAUAUAAAUUGCGUAGAAAAUGGUGGAGAAAUGACGGAGAACAAGGAGAUUGAAAAAUCUCCAGUUUUCCGGCG